UGGAAUGUAGUUUAAUGUAAAAUUAGGGUCUUUGAUUCCCUCGAUGAAAGGUCGCAUCUUUCCGUUUCAG
RNAcentral lists this transfer RNA (70 nucleotides) under Holothuria fuscogilva. RNAcentral's name for it is "tRNA-Gln". It matches the Rfam family "tRNA". Rfam says of the family: Transfer RNA (tRNA) molecules are approximately 80 nucleotides in length. Their secondary structure includes four short double-helical elements and three loops (D, anti-codon, and T loops). Lineage: Eukaryota; Metazoa; Echinodermata; Holothuroidea; Aspidochirotida; Holothuriidae. The record is from RNAcentral.